UGGGGAAUUUUGGACAAUGGGCGCAAGCCUGAUCCAGCCAUUCCGCGUGCAGGAUGAAGGCCUUCGGGUUGUAAACUGCUUUUGUACGGAACGAAACGGCGCUUUCUAAUACAGAGCGCUAAUGACGGUACCGUAAGAAUAAGCACCGGCUAACUACGUGCCAGCAGCCGCGGUAAUACGUAGGGUGCAAGCGUUAAUCGGAAUUACUGGGCGUAAAGCGUGCGCAGGCGGUGAUGUAAGACAGAUGUGAAAUCCCCGGGCUCAAACUGGGAACUGCAUUUGUGACUGCAUCGCUGAGGUGCGGCAGAGGGGGAUGGAAUUCCGCGUGUAGCAGUGAAAUGCGUAGAUAUGCGGAGGAACACCGAUGGCGAAGGCAAUCCCCUGGGCCUGCACUGACGCUCAUGCACGAAAGCGUGGGGAGCAAACAGG
Molecule: ribosomal RNA, 429 nt
Filed under: Bacillota bacterium
Lineage: Bacteria; Bacillati; Bacillota
Description: Firmicutes bacterium partial 16S ribosomal RNA
Rfam family: Bacterial small subunit ribosomal RNA
Source: RNAcentral